This 497-nucleotide ribosomal RNA is filed under the name uncultured bacterium. RNAcentral's name for it is "partial 16S ribosomal RNA". It matches the Rfam family "Bacterial small subunit ribosomal RNA", at positions 28 to 507 of the family's 1533-position model. The record is from RNAcentral.
GAUGAACGCUGGCGGCGUGCCUAAUACAUGCAAGUCGAGCGAACGGACGAGAAGCUUGCUUCUCUGAUGUUAGCGGCGGACGGGUGAGUAACACGUGGAUAACCGACCUAUAAGACUGGGAUAACUUCGGGAAACCGGGGCUAACACCGGAUGAUAUUUUGAAACGCAUGGUUCAAAAGUGAAAGACGGUUUUGAUGUCACUUAUAGAUGGAUCCGCGCUGCAUUAGCUAGUUGGUAAGGUAACGGCUUACCAAGGCAACGAUGCGUAGCCGACCUGAGAGGGUGAUCGGCCACACUGGAACUGAGACACGGUCCAGACUCCUACGGGAGGCAGCAGUAGGGAAUCUUCCGCAAUGGGCGAAAGCCUGACGGAGCAACGCCGCGUGAGUGAUGAAGGUCUUCGGAUCGUAAAACUCUGUUAUUAGGGACGAACAUAUGUGUAAGUAACUGUGCACAUCUUGACGGUACCUAAUCAGAAAGCCACGGCUAACUACGUG